This 326-nucleotide ribosomal RNA is filed under the name uncultured Chlorobiota bacterium. Its description in RNAcentral is "bacterial SSU rRNA". It matches the Rfam family "Bacterial small subunit ribosomal RNA", at positions 28 to 351 of the family's 1533-position model. Lineage: Bacteria; Pseudomonadati; Chlorobiota. The record is from RNAcentral.
GACGAACGCUGGCGGCGUGCUUAACACAUGCAAGUCAACGAUGCUUAUGUAGCAAUAUGUAAGUAGAGUGGCGCACGGGUGAGUAACACGUAUGCAAUCUGCCUUUAAUCCGGGGAUAACAUUUCUAACGAGGUGCUAAUACCCGAUGACGCAGCGGCACCGCAUGGUGACAGUUGUUAAAGUUUCGGCGAUUAAAGAGGAGCAUGGCGUUUGAUUAGCUAGUUGGUAGGGUAACGGCCUACCAAGGCGACGAUCAAUAGCUGGUCUGAGAGGACUGAUCAGCCACACUGGGACUGAGACACGGCCCAGACUCCUACGGGAGGCAG